RNAcentral lists this unclassified non-coding RNA (1760 nucleotides) under Hevea brasiliensis (rubber tree). Lineage: Eukaryota; Viridiplantae; Streptophyta; Magnoliopsida; Malpighiales; Euphorbiaceae. The record is from RNAcentral.
GUGUGAAAUUAAUUAAAUUAUUUUUUUUAAACUGGUCAAAUACACUCAGUAUAUUUGGGAUUAAAUUAAAGUAGCAUGUUACAAUGAGUUGACAAUCACAGUACCAUUCAUGUGGCAGCUUAAGAGAGAACCUUGUCUAGUAUUGGACGAGAUUUGCACAUGACCUCCAAGGGUAUAACUUUGGUCAUAUUGAUUGUUGUCUUUUCAGUCAUAUCGAUCUCCUUACCAUCAACCGUUUCCCACUUAAAGCAUUGAAUCAAUGAACCCAAAGUCAAGCCCAUUGUUCUAUUUGCCAAGCCUUCUCCAGGACAAGCUCUCCUUCCCAACCCAAAAGGCAAGAACUUGAAUGCUUUAGCUUUCCCAUUCUCAAAUCUCUCUGGUUUAAAACUUGUUGGGUCUUCCCACAACUUAGGAUCUCUUUGAAUGGCCCAAAUGUUUGCAAAUAAUAUUGUAUUGGAGGGCACAUGGAAUCCCCCAAUGGUGCAAUCAUCAGAUGACAAGUGAGGCACUAGAAGUGGAGCAACUGGACACAGUCUCAAGUUCUCUAGGAUGAUGCUCUGAAGAUAGUUUAAUUUUGGCAAAUCUGAUUCAUCUAUCAAUCGGUCUUCACCAAUCUGAGUGUUUAUCUCUACUCUAGCCUUUUUUAAAACAUUCGGAUUGUUGAGCAAAUUUGAUAUUGCCCAUUCUAAAGCCGUAGAUGAGGUUUCUGUUCCAGCAGUCAGCAAAACCAGAAUCAGGCCUUUGAUUAUUUCAUCUGUAUAGUAUUGAGGUUGAGAUUCCUGUAGAGCAAGCAAGUGAUUUAUCAUUGUAUUUCUAUCCUCAUUAUGUCGAUGCUCUUCAAUCAGUUCUUGAAAGGAUGAGUCAAUCUUUUCAGCAAGUCUAACCAGCUUUUUUAUAAAUCCACCAUAAUCAAUCCACUGUAGAAUAGGAAACAAAUCACCUAGAUUUGUAACCUCAGUAUAUGCAAAGAACUCCUCUAUUAUCUCCCUAAACUUGUUCGCCUCCUCUCUGCUUGAUUCUAUCACUUCUUCGCCAUAGUAACGCUUCCCAGCAAUCAUUCUCAUUAUUACGUUAGUGGUCAGGUCGCAAAAGGCUGAUCUUAGCUCUACCUUGGCAAAGCCCUGGGAAGAAACUCGAUGAAGUCUACCAAGUAAUGCACUGACUUCUUCAUUUCGGAUGCUUCGAAACUGGUUGAGACGAGCGGAUGAUAGGAUUUCAACGGUGCUUAUUCUGCGGAGGUUGCGCCAAUGAUCGCCGUAUCUUGCAGCACCGAGAGUGGUGUUGUUGUAGUUUACGUACCUGCCCAAGGAGAAAUCAGGGCGGUUCGCGAGAACAAUAUCGUUCUUGGUGAAGCAUUCUUCAACAGCUGACGGUGAUGAGAUGACUAUUGCAAGAUGCGAACCAAGGCGGAGAGACAUGAUGGGACCAUACUUUUGGGAGAGAUUGUUGAGAGAUUUAUGGAUGGGUUGUUUCAGGAGAUGGAGAUGGCCUAUGAUUGGAAAAGAAGGUGGACUUGGUGGAAGGUUUCUGCGCCGUCUUCUUGUUUGUAGCAUCAACUUCACAGCCACAACUAGGAAAAAAGUGAUGACAAUUGUGUAGAGCAUUGUUUCUUCCAUUCUUGUAUAGACUUUCGUUCCAGUGUUGAUGCAAAUUACCAUACUAUAUAACAAAGGGAGCUGUGCGAGGAACAGUCAAAUGCACAGUAAACGGGCAAUUAAUUUGGAGGAUCUUCAAUUACAUUUCUGCCUUCUUCUUCUCCU